CAGGAUACUUCCCAACAUCUGCAGUACAACGAGUGGACUGUAGAUACCAAAGGUACAGAUCCCGACUGCAACCAUCCACCUGCACACGUCCUAGACCAGCAAGCCACUCACCUUCACUAACACUGGACCCUCAGAGGUCUCCCGCUGGGCUACGGUACUUCCUCCCUCCUCCAAGCAGGGAAACAAGACGCCCCACAGAGGCAUCAGCCACCCGC
Molecule: non-coding RNA, 215 nt
Organism: Pelobates cultripes (western spadefoot toad)
Lineage: Eukaryota; Metazoa; Chordata; Amphibia; Anura; Pelobatidae
Source: the annotation of a GenBank genome assembly